UACGUAGGGUGCGAGCGUUGUCCGGAAUUAUUGGGCGUAAAGAGCUUGUAGGCGGUCUGUCGCGUCUGCUGUGAAAAUCCGGGGCUCAACCCCGGACUUGCAGUGGGUACGGGCAGACUAGAGUGUGGUAGGGGAGACUGGAAUUCCUGGUGUAGCGGUGAAAUGCGCAGAUAUCAGGAGGAACACCGAUGGCGAAGGCAGGUCUCUGGGCCACUACUGACGCUGAGAAGCGAAAGCAUGGGGGAGCGAACAGG
Molecule: ribosomal RNA, 254 nt
Filed under: uncultured bacterium
Lineage: Bacteria
Description: partial 16S ribosomal RNA
Rfam family: Bacterial small subunit ribosomal RNA
Source: RNAcentral